UUAAAAAAUAAAAAAGUAUAAAUAACAAAAGUGAGUAAUGACGGAAAAAUGUACAAGUACAAAAAUAUAAUUUAUGUGUAACUCACGUUAUAAAAAAUAUUAAUAAUAAUAAAAUACUCUUAAGCCCUCCCCCUCAAAAUACAAGCAUUACAAAAUUUCAGUACUUAAAUUGCAAGUACUUUACCUCAAUACGUACGUAAGAAUCGCGAUUGUGAAGAAAAAUAUGUAAAAGUAUGUUAAAAUUCUUCCAGCCGCCCUCUCCAAGCGGCUCUGCCAUUAUGUCUGAGAUGACCCACAUCUUACCUGUAAUAUAUCUUCUAUCAUUAACUUUGCAAGAUAUUAAAAAUGGGACCUAUUAUUUUAUAAACAGCUCUUUAAAAAAAAAUAGACAUUUUUAUAAAAUAUUUAAAAAAUAUAGCAGUGUUUGAACAGGAUCAAAGAAACUGAUAGAAGUGGAAUAAAGGUUUUGUUAGGAGCAUAAUCGGAGACUCCCUUUUCAUUGAUAAAAGACGUAAAAAACUUGUACAUAUAUAUUAUAGAAAGAGAUAAUAAUAGUAGACCUAUUCUAAAGGGAUACGUUGAUAGUUUCUUAUUCUAGUGGGAUUAGUUUACAUAUAUAACAAGAUACAUAUCUUUACAGUGUUCGUCAUAAAAUCAGCUGAUAAUACUGUUUUGUGUUAGAUUUAGCACCAAAUUAUCAAGAAAUUUAAAUACUUAAAUGAGAAAGGAUUUGUAUUGUAUUGCUAUAUGAUUUAUAUUAUACAACACUCUUUAUAUCGGUGUGUAUAGAGUGUCUUUAUAUCGGUGUGUACAAGGUAUGUACAAAAAGGAAUAAGACAAUCAAAAAGAAAAAAUGAAUCAUAAUGAGAUACAAUAGAAUCAGAAUCAGAUACAAUAGGAUCAGAAUCAGGUAUACUAAGAUCAGAUUCAGAUUUACUAUGAUCAGAUUCAGAUAUACUAGGAUCAUUUAGGAUUUUAUUCUGAUAAAAAUGAAAUAUUGUUUUUCCUUUAUUCUUCAUGUUUGUGAAAAUAUAAUUGGACAGUCAAACCAUAAACCAUCAAUUUGUCAUGUCAUUUUACUUAUAGAUGCAGCUAAAUUAAACCAUGCUUUAAAAAAAAAGAACAUGUUGUAGAAAGAACUGUAGAUCUUGAUUGGAAAGGUUUUAUAAAUAUCCUCUUGAGCAUAAGCGUGAAAACAUACUUGUAAACCAUAAAAAAAAAAAAAAAAAAAAAAAAAUUUGAAUCCUACAAUUAUCCCUCUUUUUUGUGCAUAAGAAUAAAAAAAGUUAAUUAUGAAAAGAAAUCUCCGGCAGAUAGCAAUCAAUUUUGCAUAAAACAAUAUAGAAAAUAUUAUUAAAUUAGAAAUUGCACCGCUGCUAAUCUAUCAAUGCUAUAUACAUAAAUAUAUAUAAAUGAGGAAUAAUGAGAUUUUCAAUAGUGCAUUUUUAAUGAAAUUUGAAUAUUUUAAAAUAACUUUAAUAACGAUCAAUUAGAAAAUUAUUUUAUUAGUUGAUUGAAUAUAAUUUAUUAAAAUUAAAUUUUAAAUAAAUGCAUAUAGAUAAUUAAGCAUUUCAAAAUUUUAAGUUUUAUUUUUUUAGAUUUAUUAAAUUGAUAAUGAGAGAUUUAAAAAUUUUUGUAUUUAUUUUCCAAAUUUACUUUUAAAUAUUUGAUUAUGUUUUUAUUAUAAUUUAAAAUAUUCUAUAUAGGAGAGAGAUAAAACAAGAAAAAAAUUAUAUUUUUAUCAUAUUUUUUUUUUUAUUUUUAUGUUUAUAUGAUUUGAAUGGAUAUAUUUUUUAAGAAAUAAAUUUUCAAAUGGAAUAUAUAUAAUUAUGCCUUUCAAAAUUUUUAAAUUUUUUACUUGUUAAAAUUUAUUUUUAAAUAAAAUGAACAUAUGUGUAUUUCACAUCACGAACAGUUGAAAAUUUUAAUUUUAAAAAUAUAUAUAAUAUUUUAUUAUUAUAUCUAUAUACCUAUAUAUUUUGAAAUGUAUUUCUUAGGUGUUAUUGUAAAAUUAUACAUAUACAGUUAUUAGAUGAUAUUGUAGAAUUUUAGAUAAAUAACAUUAUAAAUUGAACUAAAAUGUGUGUCUGUAUAUAUAUACUGCUAUUUUAUUAAUUAACUGUUUAUUUUCACAUUAAUCUCAUAUCAAAUUGUUUUAACAUUAUAAAAAUCUAAAUAUUAUAAGAUAAAAGUUAUAAUCAAUAUUUAUUAUUAAAAAAUAAAAAAGUAUAAAUAACAAAAGUGAGUAAUGACGGAAAAAUGUACAAGUACAAAAAUAUAAUUUAUGUGUAACUCACGUUAUAAAAAAUAUUAAUAAUAAUAAAAUACUCUUAAGCCCUCCCCCUCAAAAUACAAGCAUUACAAAAUUUCAGUACUUAAAUUGCAAGUACUUUACCUCAAUACGUACGUAAGAAUCGCGAUUGUGAAGAAAAAUAUGUAAAAGUAUGUUAAAAUUCUUCCAGCCGCCCUCUCCAAGCGGCUCUGCCAUUAUGUCUGAGAUGACCCACAUCUUACCUGUAAUAUAUCUUCUAUCAUUAACUUUGCAAGAUAUUAAAAAUGGGACCUAUUAUUUUAUAAACAGCUCUUUAAAAAAAAAUAGACAUUUUUAUAAAAUAUUUAAAAAAUAUAGCAGUGUUUGAACAGGAUCAAAGAAACUGAUAGAAGUGGAAUAAAGGUUUUGUUAGGAGCAUAAUCGGAGACUCC
RNAcentral lists this long non-coding RNA (2703 nucleotides) under Jatropha curcas. RNAcentral describes it as "long non-coding RNA (JCUR_LNC001689)". Lineage: Eukaryota; Viridiplantae; Streptophyta; Magnoliopsida; Malpighiales; Euphorbiaceae. The record is from RNAcentral.